This 119-nucleotide ribosomal RNA is filed under the name Vigna radiata var. radiata (mung bean). Lineage: Eukaryota; Viridiplantae; Streptophyta; Magnoliopsida; Fabales; Fabaceae. The record is from RNAcentral.
AAGUGCAAUCAUACCAGCACUAAUGCACUAGGUGCCGUCAAAACUCCGCAUUUAAGCGUACUUGGGCGAGAGUACUACCAGUAUAGGUGACCUCCUAGGAAGUCCUCGUGUUGCACUUU